AGAGUUUGAUCCUGGCUCAGGACGAACGCUGGCGGCGUGCCUAAUACAUGCAAGUCGAGCGGACUUCUCCUUCGGGAGAGGUUAGCGGCGGACGGGUGAGUAACACGUGGGCAACCUGCCUGCAAGAUCGGGAUAACUGUCGGAAACGGCAGCUAAGACCGGAUAAUUCAUUCUCUCGCAUGAGAGGAUGAUGAAACACG
RNAcentral lists this ribosomal RNA (200 nucleotides) under uncultured bacterium. RNAcentral describes it as "partial 16S ribosomal RNA". It matches the Rfam family "Bacterial small subunit ribosomal RNA", at positions 8 to 210 of the family's 1533-position model. The record is from RNAcentral.